RNAcentral lists this ribosomal RNA (254 nucleotides) under uncultured bacterium. RNAcentral's name for it is "partial 16S ribosomal RNA". It matches the Rfam family "Bacterial small subunit ribosomal RNA", at positions 524 to 776 of the family's 1533-position model. The record is from RNAcentral.
UACGUAGGGUGCGAGCGUUGUCCGGAAUUAUUGGGCGUAAAGGGCUCGUAGGCGGUGUGUCACGUCGGCCGUGAAAACUUGCAGCUUAACUGUGGGCGUGCGGUCGAUACGGGCAUCACUGGAGUUCGGCAGGGGAGACUGGAAUUCCUGGUGUAGCGGUGAAAUGCGCAGAUAUCAGGAGGAACACCGGUGGCGAAGGCGGGUCUCUGGGCCGAUACUGACGCUGAGGAGCGAAAGCGUGGGGAGCGAUCCGG